GUGUGUGCAAUGUAUAUCAAGAAUUUGCCUGUUCUUCAGCGACUUAAAAGGGAUGAAUUCUUUGAUCAAGCUGGAAAAUACAUCUUAGGUGCAACAAUUGCAGGAUGCAUUUUCUGGGGCUUAAUCUAUGGUCUGAUCAUUUGGUAUUUUAAGUGGAAACGCAGCAAAGAUGAGAGAAGAGGUUCAUUCAGAAGAGUCUCGUUCUGAGUACCAUUUCAUAAUUUUACUUCCCCCCCCCCCAUUGUGUGACGGUAAUCGAGGAAAUUGUGAUAACGUAUUGCCAGCAGAGAUUUCAGAAUAUUUUUCUGGUAC
Long non-coding RNA from Gekko japonicus, 312 nucleotides. RefSeq lists it as uncharacterized. The transcript has 3 exons. Lineage: Eukaryota; Metazoa; Chordata; Lepidosauria; Squamata; Gekkonidae. The record is from RefSeq and is a predicted model, not a curated record.